RNAcentral lists this ribosomal RNA (403 nucleotides) under uncultured bacterium. RNAcentral describes it as "bacterial SSU rRNA". It matches the Rfam family "Bacterial small subunit ribosomal RNA", at positions 356 to 773 of the family's 1533-position model. The record is from RNAcentral.
GGGGGAUAUUGCACAAUGGGGGAAACCCUGAUGCAGCAACGCCGCGUGAGGGAAGAAGGUCUUCGGAUUGUAAACCUAAGUAGACAGGGACGAAACAAAUGACGGUACCUGUAAAGUAAGCUCCGGCUAACUACGUGCCAGCAGCCGCGGUAAUACGUAGGGAGCGAGCGUUGUCCGGAUUUACUGGGUGUAAAGGGUGCGUAGGCGGGUUUGCAAGUCAGGCGUGAAAUACCGAAGCUUAACUUCGGGGCUGCGCUUGAAACUGUAGAUCUUGAGUGAAGUAGAGGCAAGCGGAAUUCCUAGUGUAGCGGUGAAAUGCGUAGAUAUUAGGAGGAACACCAGUGGCGAAGGCGGCUUGCUGGGCUUUAACUGACGCUGAGGCACGAAAGCAUGGGGAGCAAAC